UCAAUUAGAUACCGUCUUACUGCUCUUCUCUAUUUAUACAAUAUUUUGUUUUCGAUGAUAUCAUUUUAAAUUUAUAUAAACACAAAAUUAAAGUUGUACAUACUUAGACAAUCGAAAGUGUACAUUAUUAAAUUAUCAUUUCCAGUUCUACUCUAGCGGAACGUAAGUUGGCUACCAUCCUCGCUAAGAACCUUUCUUGACUUGUGACAAUCGCUUGCUUCUUUCCUCUUCUUCGGCUCUCGCUUACUCAUUUAGCUCUACUAAACUCGUUGCGCUCUUUUCUCGUUUCGUCAGAUUCAAACGUUUUCACUUCGUCAAGCCAUUUUCUUUGUGUUAACUUUUAUUUUGACGUUUUAGACAUAAAAAAAAGAGACCUUGCGGUCUCAAUGCGGCUCAUCGCAUCCAUUUUUUGCCUGGCAACGUUCUACUCUAGCGGAACGUAAGUUCGACUACCAUCGACGCUAAGGAGCUUAACUUCUGUGUUCGGCAUGGGAACAGGUGUGACCUCCUUGCUAUAGUCACCAGACAUAUGAAUGUAAUUUAUACAUUCAAAACUAGAUAGUAAGUAAAAGUGAUUUUGCUUCGCAAAACAUUUAUUUUGAUUAAGUCUUCGAUCGAUUAGUAUUCGUCAGCUCCACAUGUCACCAUGCUUCCACCUCGAACCUAUUAACCUCAUCAUCUUUGAGGGAUCUUAUAACCGAAGCUGUGGAUUGUCCUUUGGACAAUGGUAGGAGAGCGUUCUAAGGGCGUUGAAGCAUGAUCGUAAGGACAUGUGGAGCGCUUAGAAGUGAGAAUGCCGGUGUGAGUAGCGAAAGACGGGUGAGAAUCCCGUCCACCGAUUGACUAAGGUUUCCAGAGGAAGGCUCGUCCGCUCUGGGUUAGUCGGGUCCUAAGCUGAGGCCGACAGGCGUAGGCGAUGGAUAACAGGUUGAUAUUCCUGUACCACCUAUAAUCGUUUUAAUCGAUGGGGGGACGCAGUAGGAUAGGCGAAGCGUGCGAUUGGAUUGCACGUCUAAGCAGUAAGGCUGAGUAUUAGGCAAAUCCGGUACUCGUUAAGGCUGAGCUGUGAUGGGGAGAAGACAUUGAGUCUUCGAGUCGUUGAUUUCACACUGCCGAGAAAAGCCUCUAGAUAGAAAAUAGGUGCCCGUACCGCAAACCGACACAGGUAGUCAAGAUGAGAAUUCUAAGGUGAGCGAGCGAACUCUCGUUAAGGAACUCGGCAAAAUGACCCCGUAACUUCGGGAGAAGGGGUGCUCUUUAGGGUUAACGCCCAGAAGAGCCGCAGUGAAUAGGCCCAAGCGACUGUUUAUCAAAAACACAGGUCUCUGCUAAACCGUAAGGUGAUGUAUAGGGGCUGACGCCUGCCCGGUGCUGGAAGGUUAAGAGGAGUGGUUAGCUUCUGCGAAGCUACGAAUCGAAGCCCCAGUAAACGGCGGCCGUAACUAUAACGGUCCUAAGGUAGCGAAAUUCCUUGUCGGGUAAGUUCCGACCCGCACGAAAGGCGUAACGAUUUGGGCACUGUCUCAACGAGAGACUCGGUGAAAUCAUAGUACCUGUGAAGAUGCAGGUUACCCGCGACAGGACGGAAAGACCCCGUGGAGCUUUACUGUAGCCUGAUAUUGAAAUUCGGCACAGCUUGUACAGGAUAGGUAGGAGCCUUUGAAACGUGAGCGCUAGCUUACGUGGAGGCGCUGGUGGGAUACUACCCUAGCUGUGUUGGCUUUCUAACCCGCACCACUUAUCGUGGUGGGAGACAGUGUCAAGCGGGCAGUUUGACUGGGGCGGUCGCCUCCUAAAAGGUAACGGAGGCGCUCAAAGGUUCCCUCAGAAUGGUUGGAAAUCAUUCAUAGAGUGUAAAGGCAUAAGGGAGCUUGACUGCGAGACCUACAAGUCGAGCAGGGUCGAAAGACGGACUUAGUGAUCCGGUGGUUCCGCAUGGAAGGGCCAUCGCUCAACGGAUAAAAGCUACCCCGGGGAUAACAGGCUUAUCUCCCCCAAGAGUUCACA
Molecule: ribosomal RNA, 2007 nt
Filed under: Staphylococcus aureus
Lineage: Bacteria; Bacillati; Bacillota; Bacilli; Caryophanales; Staphylococcaceae
Description: bacterial LSU rRNA
Rfam family: Bacterial large subunit ribosomal RNA (bases 552-2007)
Source: RNAcentral